RNAcentral lists this unclassified non-coding RNA (210 nucleotides) under Hevea brasiliensis (rubber tree). The record is from RNAcentral. Lineage: Eukaryota; Viridiplantae; Streptophyta; Magnoliopsida; Malpighiales; Euphorbiaceae.
GCCCAUGGUGAAUGGCGCGGUCCCGGUUAGGCUGGUUGUCAGUAAGGAGCCAGUUCCGCGCAAAACGGCAGCACGGCCCCGAAAAGGCGGCUAUACAUACCCAUCAGGUCGUGAGCAAGCAACACGGGACGGGAAUGAGCCGCUAUAUCGACGAUAUCCUGCAGCCAGGCGAGAAGAUUCUGUAUUCCACCACGAUUCACGGGAUCGUCU